RNAcentral lists this long non-coding RNA (3816 nucleotides) under Canis lupus familiaris (dog). Its description in RNAcentral is "lncRNA (ENSCAFG00040006414.1)". Lineage: Eukaryota; Metazoa; Chordata; Mammalia; Carnivora; Canidae. The record is from RNAcentral.
CGGAAGGCUCCUUCCCUCUGCGGCAACCCAGACCUUCCCCGCUGUCCAGUGGGAGGAAUGGAACCUCCUGCCACCUCCCCGCUAACACCUCCCAUGCAGGCGGAGCGCCAGGCACCGCCCCCAUCGGUCUCAGAACUACAUUUCCCAGCGAUCCUCGCGCGCCUCUCGGGCUUGGGCUCCUUGGCGGACACGGAGCGGCGGGCGUGACAAGGCGCGGGGCCUUCUGGGACUGGUAGUUUGGUGGGCGGCGCUCGCGCACACUUGGACCGGGGUUUGAAUUCCGCCCAGCCUCAGACGGCUUCGGGAGAAGGAGGGCUGUACCAGGCGCAGUGAGUUCGCGGCGGGAGAGGACCAGGAGCUAGGGGAAGGGAGAGGGAGGCCCAGGAUGCUGCAUCUCAGUGCCAUGGAGGGCAGGGGUGCCGUGGAGGUGGAGGCCUGGCUGCCCAACACAGGAGUUCUGCCUUCUCAGAGCCCUGCUCCUACUUCAGAGAAGCUCUCCAAAAAGAAGGGAAGAAUACCAGUCAGGUCCCUGCCGGCCUGGAGCAUGAUGUGGAGACUUGAGGCACGGGAAGGCAAGUCCUCAGCCACCCGCCUGGCUCCCACACUGAGGGGUGCAGACCCCACCCCCGGAGUGAACACUGUCCCAUCUGCUGCUCUCUCCCCCUGCAGCUGCUCCCUUUGCUUUGGCUCCUCCUUGUACACCGUGGCUCCAGCUCUGCAGGGCCUUGGCUUUGUAGCCUUUCCUAGCAUUUCAGGAAAUGGGCACGGGUCGCAUCUCUGCGACCACAGCCCCUAGGCCCCUCUGCACCUACGCCCCCUGCACCUGUGCCCCGUGGCCCUCUGCAUCCCAGCCUGGGGCUGGAGACCUCUAACCACACGGGUCUGGUUGCAGUAACAUGACAGUCCAAAACACAGCUGCUUCACUCAAACGACGUUACUUACUCCUCACCGUGACAGUGUUUGGACAGCCCGGGAGCGUGCCUCUGCCCCGCGUGACCCAUCCACAUUCAGGGGCAUUCCAAGGGGAACGUGCUUAGUUUCUCAAAAGCCAAAGGCCAGAAGACACGCCUCUCUUCUGCUUGUACUUCAUCGGCCAGAGCAUAGCCACGUGACUGCCCCCGCUCCAAGGAAUGCUGGGAAACGUAGUCUGGCUGUGCAAUCAUGGGCUCAACUGUAGCUUCCAUUAUUAUGGCAAAAAAAAAAAAUGGAUAUUAUGUCCACCACUGACCUGGUCUGUUAUGUUAAUCUAUCCCAGCGCCAGGCUGUGAUGAGCACAUGAGUGAAUAAAGCUACUCUCCAAGCCUGCAAUCCUUUCUCCCAUUGACUAGAAUCCCCUCCCCUUUUAAACAUGUAUUUAGAAUAAUUGACAUUUCUUGAGCACCAAGCAUGGACUGGGCACAGAGCUAAUGUCUUUACCUAUUUUCAUCCACCUAAGCCUCACAACUCUAGGAUGUGGUACUGUAUUAUCUCCAUCUUCAAGAUAAGAGAAUGGGGGUGCAGGGUUCACGUCACUUGUCUGAGGUCAUACAUACUAAGUAGUCAAGCCAAGAUUCGAACCCAGGCAGUCUGGCCCUAUAGCCUAUGCUCUUAACUGUCGUGGUAUCGACCUAACUCAGUGGAAACAGAAAUUCCCAGGUGGCCAUACAACUGGUGAGUGAAAGGGCCACUUUCAGCAUUCAUAGCAUCCCUUCAUUCAUCUCUUCACAUCACACGUGAACACUCAGAGUGUGCUCUGUGGCUGCAGUAAUGGUGUGUAAACAACAACAAAACCCACAGAACAUCAGGAGCACACAGCAAUAAGGAUUUGGCUAUGUGGCUCUGCUGGUGUUGCUGGGCUCCUUUACAUGUCUGGUGGACCCUGGUGGACAGCUGCUGGACAGGUGCCUGGUCAGCUGACCUGGGGUGGCUUUUCUCAGAGGACUGGGGUGACUUGGCAUUGCUCUACAUAUCGUUCAUCCUCCAGAGACUAGCUGGGGCACAUCCUCACUCAUGGAGGCAGUAGAGGCACAAGAAAGACGUGAGUGCUGAUUGCUUCUAUCAUACCACCAACAACACCACACUGGCCACGGCAAGCUCCAAGGCCAAGUAAAGGUUUGGAACAGGAAUGCACUGCACAGCCACAUAGCAAAGGGUUUGGAUAUGGGGCAGGGUGGAAGAGCCCAGGCCUUAUUUGCAAGCUGACACAACACUGAACUCUGAACCCAUCCCAAACUUCUGUUGGCUUUCCUCCUAGUGUCCUGGGCCAAACGAAGGAUCAGGCCCUUGGUGAAUAGGAAUGGGGGUUUGGGUUACAGGAACCUGUGAUCUUCAGGGAUGUGGCCAUGUACUUCACCCAGAACGAGUGGCAGCUGCUGGAGCCUGCGCAGAAGGACCUAUACAGGGAUGUGAUGCUGGAGAACUAUGGGCACCUGGCAUCUUUGGGUAAGGACAAGUCGCACAGUUCAGAAGACUUGGAUGAGCUUACCCCUAGGACUGGUCCCAUGUGCUAAGGGUUGGUGGUUUCAUUCUAAGACUGGCUCUGCUCAUGGUCUGAAGACAGCUGCCAGCGGCCACCGACAGGCCCUCAUUGUAGUUCACUCGCAACAGAAGUGGUAGAAUGAUUGGUACUGGUAUUCCCUCCAAAAGUCUGACUUUUGCUCCCAUUAGAACUGGCUUCAGUCAUAUGACUGCUGCUAAGCCAAUCACAGUGGCCAGUGCAACAGGAAGAGGCUGAUUGGUGCCGUCCUCUUUGAGGGUGGGCUCUGCUCUCUGGGAACUGCAGGUGUACCCCUUACUAGGAAUUUGGGCAGGUGUGAUGGGGGAGAUGGAGGCUGGUGAGGCAGAAGCCCUGUACUUCCUCUGGAGGGCCUUCGUAUCAUUGUGAUGUGAUUUAUAAUGAGAAAGAUAUAUUCGGUCUCCCUCCUGUUUCUAGCACAGAACUCCUAAGCCUUUUGAAUUUCGUACGUGGUGAGAGGGAUAAAUGCAUCUUUUGCUAUGUUUGUAAGGUGACUUUGAGAAAACCCCUCAGGAUGAGAGCUGGUUGCUAGGGGAAGCAACUUUGGGUCUCACCCCUGACCUCCAGGGAGGUUGAAUCAGUCACCAAUGGCCAGUGAUUUAAUCAACUAUGUCUAUAAUUAAGCUUCCAUAAAAACCCCAAAUGAUAGUGUUUGCAGAGCUUCCAGGUUGGUAAGCAAGUGAAGCUCCGGGGAGAGAGGUGGCCUCAGAGGGCAUGGAUGCCCCACACCCUUUCCCCACACCUGGCCCUCGACAACUCUUCCACCUACUGUUCCUGAGUUCUAUCCUUUAAUAAUAAAUCAGUGAUCUAGUGAGUAAAACAUUUCUCUGAGUUCUGUAAGCUGCUCCAGCAAAUUCAUCAAACCCAAGAAGGGGAUCAUUGCAACCUCUGAUCCAUAGCCUGCCAGUCAGAGGUACCAGUGACAACUUGGAUUUGUGAUUGAUGUCUGAAUUGGGGGAGGGGAUCAGCUUUGUGGGACUGAGCCCUCCACCUGUGGGAUGGGAUACCACCUCCAGGUAGGUAGUGUCAGAAUUGAGUUGAAUUAUAGGACCCCAGCAGUGUUGGAGAGAAUUGCUUGGGGGCAGGGGUAGGACCCACACUCUGUAAUUGGGAGCAGAAAUAUAAACACACUUCUCUGUGCAAAUCUGGGUCUGGGGGGCAUCCAGAACUUCUUUUCUUCUGUGGAGCAGGGCAUUGGUUCUUCAAACCCAAGCUGAUCACCAGGUUAGAGCAAGGAGACGAGCCCUGUGUCAAGGAGAGAGGCAUCCCUCCAGCUCCCCAGCGAGGCAGUGCUGGAAUCAGUGGGAGCCGCAUCUCCACAG